Molecule: ribosomal RNA, 1289 nt
Filed under: Vibrio sp.
Lineage: Bacteria; Pseudomonadati; Pseudomonadota; Gammaproteobacteria; Vibrionales; Vibrionaceae
Description: bacterial SSU rRNA
Rfam family: Bacterial small subunit ribosomal RNA
Source: RNAcentral
GCCUAGGUGGGAUUAGCUAGUUGGUGAGGUAAGGGCUCACCAAGGCGACGAUCCCUAGCUGGUCUGAGAGGAUGAUCAGCCACACUGGAACUGAGACACGGUCCAGACUCCUACGGGAGGCAGCAGUGGGGAAUAUUGCACAAUGGGCGCAAGCCUGAUGCAGCCAUGCCGCGUGUGUGAAGAAGGCCUUCGGGUUGUAAAGCACUUUCAGUCGUGAGGAAGGUGGUGUAGUUAAUAGCUGCAUUAUUUGACGUUAGCGACAGAAGAAGCACCGGCUAACUCCGUGCCAGCAGCCGCGGUAAUACGGAGGGUGCGAGCGUUAAUCGGAAUUACUGGGCGUAAAGCGCAUGCAGGUGGUUUGUUAAGUCAGAUGUGAAAGCCCGGGGCUCAACCUCGGAAUAGCAUUUGAAACUGGCAGACUAGAGUACUGUAGAGGGGGGUAGAAUUUCAGGUGUAGCGGUGAAAUGCGUAGAGAUCUGAAGGAAUACCGGUGGCGAAGGCGGCCCCCUGGACAGAUACUGACACUCAGAUGCGAAAGCGUGGGGAGCAAACAGGAUUAGAUACCCUGGUAGUCCACGCCGUAAACGAUGUCUACUUGGAGGUUGUGGCCUUGAGCCGUGGCUUUCGGAGCUAACGCGUUAAGUAGACCGCCUGGGGAGUACGGUCGCAAGAUUAAAACUCAAAUGAAUUGACGGGGGCCCGCACAAGCGGUGGAGCAUGUGGUUUAAUUCGAUGCAACGCGAAGAACCUUACCUACUCUUGACAUCCAGAGAACUUUCCAGAGAUGGAUUGGUGCCUUCGGGAACUCUGAGACAGGUGCUGCAUGGCUGUCGUCAGCUCGUGUUGUGAAAUGUUGGGUUAAGUCCCGCAACGAGCGCAACCCUUAUCCUUGUUUGCCAGCGAGUAAUGUCGGGAACUCCAGGGAGACUGCCGGUGAUAAACCGGAGGAAGGUGGGGACGACGUCAAGUCAUCAUGGCCCUUACGAGUAGGGCUACACACGUGCUACAAUGGCGCAUACAGAGGGCAGCCAACUUGCGAAAGUGAGCGAAUCCCAAAAAGUGCGUCGUAGUCCGGAUUGGAGUCUGCAACUCGACUCCAUGAAGUCGGAAUCGCUAGUAAUCGUGGAUCAGAAUGCCACGGUGAAUACGUUCCCGGGCCUUGUACACACCGCCCGUCACACCAUGGGGAGUGGGCUGCAAAAGAAGUAGGUAGUUUAACCUUCGGGGGGGACGCUUACCACUUUGUGGUUCAUGACUGGGGGUGAAGUCGUACAGGGGUAAACCGUAAA